ACUACACCGAGUUAAAAGAGGACUGCAAGCUCAAAAGCCUCAUGUAAGAAAAAAAAAAUACAAAAAACUCAUUAUCAACUUCAUUCUCCAGAAAAGACACAUCUUAGUAAAAGACAAAAAUACUAGCAAAGAAAGGAAAGGGUAGGUAAUAAAAUAAACACUCCCAGAUAAUUGUAGUCCACAUCCUCGUUAAAUUGGAAGGAUCCUAGAAAAAAGUUUAAUGUCAGACACUAGUCAUUCUCCAGAAAAGACACAUCUUAGUAAAAGACAAAAAUACUAGCAAAGAAAGGAAAGGGUAGGUAAUGAAAUAAACACUCCCAGAUAAUUGUAGUCCACAUCCUUGUUAAAUUGGAAGGAUCCUAGAAAAAAAUUAAAUGUCAGACACUAGUUAUAUUUUAGUGAAUAUAAGAACUUACUAGAAUGAAAAGGCAAAGUUUAACAAAAACUCGUUUUGAUCUAAAAUGGAAAGGCAUCUUAAGAAACUCUUUAUGUAAUCUUGUUGAAAACACUAUCAGCCAGAAAGUAUCUGCACAAAAUAAAAGAAAAUUAAGCAAGCAGAAGAAUGGUCAGAAGUUAAUGGGGAAAUAAGAGAGAUAAAAAACAGCACUAUUGGUGAAGUUGAUUUGAAGUUGGUAGAAAGUAACAAGAAGCCAAUGCAAAAAGCACAAGCAAACUACACCAAAUUUCCUCAAAACAGUUGAUGAUAGAUUAGGGGGAGAAGACACGAUUAAUAUCAAAAGCUAGUUAUUUAACCCAUAUAAACUAUAUAAGACUUGGAAAAGGAAUUAAAGAUGAAUUUAGUCUCCAGUCGAAGUUUCAAAAGCACCAUUUAAGCGCUCUCAUCGCACGGAGUCGAUGACCCUGAAAACAAAACUUGUACGCUGUUCUUGAAAACAUCCUUGCCUACAAACCACUACACCGAGUUAAAAGGGGACUGCAAGCUCCAAAGCUUCAUGUAAGGAAAAAAAACUCAUUAUCAACUUCAUUCUCCAGAAACGACACAACUAGCAAGACAAAAAUACCAGAACAUAAAGGAAAGGGUAGGUAAUGAAAUAAACACUCCCAGAUAACUGCAGUCCACAUCCUUGAUAAAUUGGAGGGAUCCUAGAAAAAAGUUUGCAAGUAAAGGUCAGACUCUAGUUAUAUUUUAAUAAAUAUAAGAACUUGUUGACUAGAAUGAAAAGGCAACGUUUAACAAAAACUUGUUUUGAUCUAAAAUGGAAAGGCAUCUUAAGAAACUGUGUAAUCUUGUUGGAAACACUAUCAGCCAGAAUGUAUCUGCACAAAAUAAAAGAAAAUUAAGCAGGCAGAAGAAUGGUCAGAAGUUAAUGGGGAAAUAAGAGAGAUAAAAAACAGCACUAUUGGUGAAGUUGAUUUGAAGUUGGUAGAAAGUAACAAGAAGCCACUGCAAAAAGCACAAGCAAACUACACCAAGUUUCCUCAAAACAGUUGAUGAUAGAUUAGGGGAAGAAGACAUGAUUAAUAUCAAAAGCUAGUUAUUUAACCCAUAUAAACUAUAUAAGACUUGGAAAAGGAAUUAAAGAUGAAUUUAGUCUCCAGUCGAAGUUUCAAAAGCACCAUAUAUGCCUCCAUGAACCUGAAAACCAAAAGCUUACAAAUAAGCACACUCUAGUAUGUCCCAGUGCCACGCAGAAAAAUACAAAAAGCAUUAAAUUGAAGGGUAAUCCUAGUGUUAUAUGUUCCUUUCAAACUGAACAAAUCCUUAAGAAAAUGCAAACAAAAAGCAGACACAAAUUUAACGAUUGAAAUGAGAAAACAAAGGAAAAGGCACUUGAUCCAUCACUGUUGAAAACUGAUAAUGAAAACAAUAGGAAAGAAAAAUGGAUCCUCUUGGUGGAGCUUAGCUUGGAGCUGGAAUUAUAAUUCCUUGUUUACUUUCAAACCAUUGCCUAAAUGCUUGAUGGCAUCCUAAAAGAACACAAAAUUAAAACUCAAAGCCUAGCUCCUUUUAAACAAGUACAAAUUUUAUUAAAAGAUACAAAGGCAGAGACAAAGAAUCACUUAUGAGCACUCCAAAGUUUGAAGCAUCACGUAUAAAAGACGUUCAUAGUUCCAACUUCAUGCACCUGGAAAGACAGGAAGUUGGAAUCUUAAAUCAUACAUAAAGGAAAAAAAAUGUAAGCAGAGAAAGGAAAAGAUGUAGGCUAUGAAUCCGGAUCUAAUUGUCAUCCAAAUAUGGUUCUUGAUACAUUUUGGAAGGAUCCUACACAAACAUGCAACUGAAGGUAAAAUUCUAGUUACACAAGUAAUCUGGAACUGUAGCUCUAUUAAACAGAUGGAAGCAUUUAAAACAGCAAAGCAGAAACUUAGUUCACUGCAAGUUCAUGAGCAUCAAGCAAAAGACUCAAUUGUUCACUGGAAUAACACAAACAAAAACUUACUACAGUACAAUAAAGCACGUACACCACUCCCUGACUUAAACUCGAGUUCAUAUGCAUUCCUUGACAACAAGAAGGAUACUGGAAAAAUAAACAACAGUAAUAUUUUGUAGAGUCAAGAAAAACGGUGGAUUGAAAUGUAAAAUAAUAUUACAAGACACUAGAUGCAUUUUUCUCAGAAAACUCCAUCUAGAUGUCUGCCCAAAAUGGAAUUAAAGUAAUGAACAUAAGAAAAUGUUGAGAGAGAGAUUCCAAAGCAAGGCAAAAAAAGAAUUUAUAAGAAAAACAAGGUAAAGCAAGAUGGCUCCUACUGAUAAAGCUUAGACCCAGUAACAAAAACCAUUGCCUUGAGCAGACAGCACCGAGUUGCCCAUUCCCUAGAAUGCUUGCUACGAUCCUAAAAGAAUUAAAGAAGAAAUUGUAUACACAAAUACAGAUUUAAAAUAGAAGUGCAAGUUGCAAAGAAUCACCAUUGUCCAACUAUAAGCUUCUAGAAAAAAAAAUCAAUCAGAAUGUUCGUCUGAACACUCAAAUUUAAUGCAAGGCAGAGGAAAGAGUACUCUGAAAUAAACACCUCCAAGCAAUCAUAAUCCAUAUAUGUUCCUUGAUAACUUGGAGGGAUCCUGGAAAAACAUGCAAGCAAACAUCGGACACAAGUUAUAUUUUAGUAUAAAUUAAAACUUGUUGACUAGAAUGAAAAAAACAAAGUUAAGAAACACUAAUUUUGAAAUAAAUGAAAGGGAAAGGUUAGGAAACACUUGGUGCUAUCUUAUUGAAAAUAUUAUCUAGAAAAAUCUGCAAAAAAUAAAACAAAAAUAAGCAAGCAUACCUACUGUUGACACAGUUGUCAGAAGUUGAAAGUGAUAUGGAGAGAAAUGAGCAAAGAAAACAGCCCCAUUGCAAGUAAAAUUUGAAGCAGCUCGGAGGUAACAAAAAAACCACUGCAAAAAUCUCAAGCUCUUGGAAGAACACACAAUACCCAAAUGCUACCUAUUUAACCAGUGUAGAUUAUACAGGACUCAGAGGAACUUAGUCUCCAAUGCAAGUUUCAAAAGCUUCAUAGCAUAACUCUCAUUGCACGAAGUCCAUGACUGAAUGGAUCCAGGAAAAACAUGCAAAGAAAAAAGCCAAGACAAAAGUAUUGAUUGAAAUGAGAGAAGAAAGUUGAAGACACCUGAUCUAUUACUGUUGAAAAGUUAUUGGUUCAAUCAAUGUCAAGUUAGUUCCAGAACUUUGCCAGCCAAACAUUCAUUACAGCAAGCCACACUUUGUUUUCCAUUACAAAACAAAUGGGGUCCUAGGAAACCUCAAACAAACAGAAUCUAAAACAAAUGGUGAAAAAUAAGAAUGUUGACUGCAAUACCAAAAUAAAGUUAAGAGACACCGUGCCCUCCUGAAAGCAACAUGAUCAGUACAAAUGCACAGAGUAUAACAGCAUUCAGCCAAGAAUAGCUUUAUUUAAUUCAGAACAGUGCAAUCUGAAGAGAAAGAAAGGAAAUCAAACCAGCUAGGCUAGAAUUUCUCCCAUGGCAAGCACUCCAAUCACUGUCAAGUAGGGUCCAAAAAGAAUCUGACUUGUAUGAGAAUAGCAGAAUAUUCUUUCCAAAAUAAAUCUGACUCGUAUGUUUUCUCAAAUUGACAGCUUGAUUAGCCUCCUACCAUUAAUUCCCUGUUAGUCAGGGAUUCUCUUGAAACAUCCAAUGCCACUGAGCGAAACUAGGACAAAAAAAUUGAUGAAAGCAUAUGAAAAACCGGGUAAGGAAGAUCAAGGACACAAAACUUGUCAAAACUGUUAUACCAUUCUCUAUCACAAAAACACAUGGCAGAAACUUCUCCACGGCAAGAUUCCAAUAGAAAAUAUAUAUCCAAUUAAUUUCAAUCCUGGAAGUAGUAGAAUCAAAAGCAAAUUAAACAAAACAGCCUCACGAUGAUCCAAACUCCAUUCAUAAGCAAAAUGAACCAAAAAUAUUCAUCAUCACUAAAAAAAACUUCAUAGUUCAAGAAACCCUAAAUUUCCUUCAUCACUGAAACCAUGGUCUUCAC
Molecule: long non-coding RNA, 4442 nt
Filed under: Populus trichocarpa (black cottonwood)
Lineage: Eukaryota; Viridiplantae; Streptophyta; Magnoliopsida; Malpighiales; Salicaceae
Description: long non-coding RNA (PTRI_LNC003228)
Source: RNAcentral